CAAUAGCGUAUAUUAAAGCUGUUGCGGUUAAAAAGCUCGUAGUUGGAUUUCUGUCAAGGACAACUGGUCCGCCCUCCGGGUGAGCACAUAGUUUGGUCUUGGCAUCUUGCUGGAAACUGUUGCUGCGCUUGGUUGUGUGGUGCAGCUUUCAGCACUUUCACUUUGAGGAAAUUGGAAUGUUUCAAGCAGGCACAUGCCUUUGGACACAGUAGCAUGGAAUAAUUAGAUUGGGCUUUUGCUCCAACUUGUUGGUUCCUGGAGCUGAGGUGAGAAUCAAUGGGGAUUGUUGGGGGCAUCCGAAUUUAGCCGUCAGAGGUGAAAUUCUUGGAUCUGCUAAAGACGGACAACUGCGAAAGCGUUUGCCCAGGAUGUUUUCAUUGA
This 381-nucleotide ribosomal RNA is filed under the name uncultured eukaryote. Its description in RNAcentral is "partial 18S ribosomal RNA". It matches the Rfam family "Eukaryotic small subunit ribosomal RNA", at positions 592 to 976 of the family's 1831-position model. The record is from RNAcentral.